UCGGCCUAUAGAGAUGAGCGCGCAACCCUAGAGUCAUCCGCGACUGGACCUAACGGUCAGGGGUCCUUUAGCUUUGCCUUUUUAUGAAUAGUAGAAGGGUUUGGCUUACACUCCAAUGGCAUGGAGGAUUCUCAUGCACUUCAUGCUUUCUAAUAGAUCAGGCUAUUGUGUAGUUCAAUAUUUAGAUUAGAUCAAUUUAUGACCACAUUUCCUCAUCCCACCUCUUCAGUGUGCAAACCUCUACCCAUUUUUAAAUUGUUUUAAUUUGUUUUACCAUGGAGAAGCUUCAGGAUCCAGGAAAGACCAGAUAACAGGAAGGGUAUAUGUUUUGAUUUAGCAGGAAUGAUCCCAUAUAGAGUUAAAUUGACUAAUUUAGACAACUGCCCUUUUUAGAAUGGUUUUUAACAGGUUGGUUUGAGGGGUUGAGAACUAUGGGGCUAGGGGGCUCCGCUAGGGGCGCCACGGAAGAUGGCCAACAAUACCAUCUCUCCAGCUCCCACGAGGUAAUUUAGAGGCUGAGAUGGGAGUAAUCAGCCUCCCAAAUACUUCCCGGUGGAAGGGAAGAUGCAGUCUCAUCCGCAGCUGCCCACAAACCACCCCCGAGUUCGUAAAGAAGGAGGGGGUGGGGGCACUGGAUGGAAAGCCCCGAGGGAGUUCGGAUCUGCUGGACGCUGUCUCUGUGAGCGCUUCAAGUUUCAUUUCUUAAGAUAAAGAUUGGAUUUAAGAAUUUUGGACAUGCUUCAGGCGAAGAAAGGGUAGUUAAUCUGCCAACUACAGCCACUGAGGUGUCAAGAAUGACGGGAGGAAGAAAGAUAACAUCAAAGAAUAACAUCUAAACCGAAGAUAAAAGACUCUCCUGUGACGCACCUUUAAUCAGGAUCCGCCAUUAUGAGACAGACUGAGUUGCAGAGAUUAAUAGUCAUAGGGGGAGGCGAGCUCUUACUUUGUUAUUAUAUCUGUAUUUCAAGUCCGAUUUGGCAAACCUCCUCUGGAAAGACUAAUGUUUGGUGCAACCUGUCUGAGAAAAUUAAUGAGCAAACGCCUAGAUUUUAUUUCAUUGGAAUUGAGAGAAGAUGGCGUCUGCCACCAGAGAAGGACUUUUGGAUUGAUUCGACAUAAACACCAGCAUGUGAGGACAUACUGCAAAUAAAAGACUUACCAGCUG
Molecule: non-coding RNA, 1165 nt
Organism: Podarcis muralis (Common wall lizard)
Lineage: Eukaryota; Metazoa; Chordata; Lepidosauria; Squamata; Lacertidae
Source: RefSeq, a predicted model, not a curated record